UAAGUGAAGCUUUUGUGGGUCAACCUUUUGUGUUGAAGCUUUUGUGGGUGAAGCUUUUGUGUUUAAGCUUUUGUGGGUGAAGCUUUUGUGUUGAAGCUGUUGUGGGUGAAGCUUUUGUCGGUGAAGCUUUUGUGUGAAGCUUUUGUAGGUGAAGCUUUGGAGUUGAAGCUUUGUAGGUGAAGCUUUGCUAGGUGACGCUUUGGAGUUGAAGCUUUGUAGGUGCAGCUUUGGAGUUGAAGCUUUGUAGGUGAAGCUUUUGUAGGUGAAGCUUUAGAGUUGAAGCUUUGUAGGUGAAGCUUUGGAGUUAAAGCUUUUGUUGGGUA
This 323-nucleotide long non-coding RNA is filed under the name Malus domestica (apple). Its description in RNAcentral is "long non-coding RNA (MDOM_LNC013439)". Lineage: Eukaryota; Viridiplantae; Streptophyta; Magnoliopsida; Rosales; Rosaceae. The record is from RNAcentral.